CAGCAGUCGCCGCGGGAAUACGAAGGGUGCAAGCGUUAAUCGGAAUUACUGGGCGUAAAGCGUGCGUAGGCGGUUUGUUAAGUCUGCUGUGAAAUCCCCGGGCUCAACCUGGGAAUGGCAGUGGAUACUGGCAAGCUAGAGUGUGUCAGAGGAUGGUGGAAUUCCCGGUGUAGCGGUGAAAUGCGUAGAGAUCGGGAGGAACAUCAGUGGCGAAGGCGGCCAUCUGGGACAACACUGACGCUGAGGCACGAAAGCGUGGGGAGCAAACAGGAUUAGAUACCCGAGUAGUCCCUGUCUCUUAUAC
Molecule: ribosomal RNA, 304 nt
Filed under: uncultured bacterium
Lineage: Bacteria
Description: partial 16S ribosomal RNA
Rfam family: Bacterial small subunit ribosomal RNA
Source: RNAcentral